This 497-nucleotide ribosomal RNA is filed under the name uncultured bacterium. RNAcentral's name for it is "partial 16S ribosomal RNA". It matches the Rfam family "Bacterial small subunit ribosomal RNA", at positions 28 to 507 of the family's 1533-position model. The record is from RNAcentral.
GAUGAACGCUGGCGGCGUGCCUAAUACAUGCAAGUCGAGCGAACAGACGAUGCGCUUGCUCCUCUGACGUUAGCGGCGGACGGGUGAGUAACACGUGGAUAACCUACCUAUAAGACUGGGAUCAUUUCGGGAAACCGGAUCUAAUACCGUAUAAUAUCUUGAACCGCAUUGUUCAAUAGUGAAAUACGGUUUUUCUGUCACUUAUAGAUGGAUCCGCGCCGGAUUAGCUAGUUGGUAAGGUCACGGCUUACCAAGGCGACGAUGCGUAGCCGACCUGAGAGAGUGAUAGCCCACACGGGAACUGAGACACGGUCAAGACGACUAAGGGAGGCAGCAGUAGGGAAUCUUACGCAAUGGGCGAAAGCAUGACAGAGCAACGGCGCGUGAGAGAUGAAGGUCUUCGGAUCGUAAAAAUCUGUAAUGAGGGAAGAACAAAUGCGGAAGGAACUAUGGAGGGAUUGACGGUAACUAAUAAGAAAGCAACGGCUAACUACGUG